GUGCCAGCCGCCGCGGUAAUACGAGGGGUGCUAGCGUUGUCCGGAAUUAUUGGGCGUAAAGGGUUCGUAGGCGUUUUGAUAAGUCAAUUGUUAAAUACAUCGGCUUAACCGAUGGAGUGCAUUUGAAACUAUCAAAAUAGAGUAUAGGAGAGGAAAGCGGAAUUCCUGGUGUAGCGGUGACAUGCGUAGAUAUCAGGAAGAACACCAAUGGCGAAGGCAGCUUUCUGGCCUAUUACUGACGCUGAGGAACGAAAGCGUGGGGAGCGAACAGGAUUAGAUACCCUGGUAGUCCACGCCGUAAACGAUGAGUACUUGGUGUCGGAAGAUUCAACCCUUUCGGUACCGGAGCUAACGCAUUAAGUACUCCGCCUGGGGACUACGACCGCAAGGUUGAAACUCAAAUAAAUUGACGG
RNAcentral lists this ribosomal RNA (413 nucleotides) under uncultured bacterium. RNAcentral describes it as "bacterial SSU rRNA". It matches the Rfam family "Bacterial small subunit ribosomal RNA", at positions 505 to 916 of the family's 1533-position model. The record is from RNAcentral.